RNAcentral lists this long non-coding RNA (224 nucleotides) under Gossypium raimondii (Peruvian cotton). RNAcentral describes it as "long non-coding RNA (GRAI_LNC005436)". The record is from RNAcentral. Lineage: Eukaryota; Viridiplantae; Streptophyta; Magnoliopsida; Malvales; Malvaceae.
CCUACUCAAUCGAUGAAACCUAGCUUGGCCGAAGGUUUCUCCUCUCAACAAUGGUACAUUCGGCUUUUGAAGGAAGAAACAAAAAGAUGAUAGCAAAUUUUGGCUUUUGUUUUAUUUUCAUUUUACCUAAUUUCAUAAAUUACUAUUAUAACCUUACAAUUUCAAUAAAAUUGCAUGUAAUUAGCCUUGCAGACCGUCCAUUAUCUACUCAAAUGGUAUAAUUU